This 485-nucleotide ribosomal RNA is filed under the name uncultured bacterium. RNAcentral describes it as "partial 16S ribosomal RNA". It matches the Rfam family "Bacterial small subunit ribosomal RNA", at positions 30 to 507 of the family's 1533-position model. The record is from RNAcentral.
UUGCACGCUGGCGGCAUGCCUUACCCAUGCAAGUCGAACGGCAGCACGGGUGCUUGCCCCUGGUGGCGAGUGGCGAACGGGUGAGUAAUACAUCGGAACAUGUCCUGUAGUGGGGGAUAGCCCGGCGAAAGCCGGAUUAAUACCGCAUACGAUCUACGGAUGAAAGCGGGGGACCUUCGGGCCUCGCGCUAUAGGGUUGGCCGAUGGCUGAUUAGCUAGUUGGUGGGGUAAAGGCCUACCAAGGCGACGAUCAGUAGCUGGUCUGAGAGGACGACCAGCCACACUGGGACUGAGACACGGCCCAGACUCCUACGGGAGGCAGCAGUGGGGAAUUUUGGACAAUGGGCGAAAGCCUGAUCCAGCAAUGCCGCGUGUGUGAAGAAGGCCUUCGGGUUGUAAAGCACUUUUGUCCGGAAAGAAAUCCUUGGCCCUAAUACGGUCGGGGGAUGACGGUACCGGAAGAAUAAGCACCGGCUAACUACGUG